RNAcentral lists this ribosomal RNA (429 nucleotides) under Gemmatimonadota bacterium. RNAcentral describes it as "Gemmatimonadetes bacterium partial 16S ribosomal RNA". It matches the Rfam family "Bacterial small subunit ribosomal RNA", at positions 355 to 776 of the family's 1533-position model. The record is from RNAcentral. Lineage: Bacteria; Pseudomonadati; Gemmatimonadota.
UAGGGAAUCUUCGGCAAUGGACGAAAGUCUGACCGAGCAACGCCGCGUGAGUGAAGAAGGUUUUCGGAUCGUAAAACUCUGUUGUUAGAGAAGAACAAGGACGUUAGUAACUGAACGUCCCCUGACGGUAUCUAACCAGAAAGCCACGGCUAACUACGUGCCAGCAGCCGCGGUAAUACGUAGGUGGCAAGCGUUGUCCGGAUUUAUUGGGCGUAAAGCGAGCGCAGGCGGUUUCUUAAGUCUGAUGUGAAAGCCCCCGGCUCAACCGGGGAGGGUCAUUGGACACUGGGAGACUUGAGUGCAGAAGAGGAGAGUGGAAUUCCAUGUGUAGCGGUGAAAUGCGUAGAUAUAUGGCGGAACACCAGUGGCGAAGGCGGCUCUCUGGUCUGUAACUGACGCUGAGGCUCGAAAGCGUGGGGAGCAAACAGG